RNAcentral lists this transfer RNA (71 nucleotides) under Camelus bactrianus (Bactrian camel). It matches the Rfam family "tRNA". From Rfam's summary of the family: Transfer RNA (tRNA) molecules are approximately 80 nucleotides in length. Their secondary structure includes four short double-helical elements and three loops (D, anti-codon, and T loops). Lineage: Eukaryota; Metazoa; Chordata; Mammalia; Artiodactyla; Camelidae. RNAcentral also lists the same sequence under 1 other name. The record is from Rfam by way of RNAcentral.
GGAUGUAUAGCUUAGUGGUAGAGUGCAUGCCUAGCAUGCAUGAGGUCUGAGUUCAAUCCCCAGUACCGCUG